Molecule: long non-coding RNA, 3646 nt
Filed under: Anolis carolinensis (green anole)
Lineage: Eukaryota; Metazoa; Chordata; Lepidosauria; Squamata; Anolidae
Description: lncRNA (ENSACAG00000042561.1)
Source: RNAcentral
AUGAGCCAACAAUGUGAUGUGGCUGCUAAAAAAGCCAAUGGGAUUUUGGCCUGCAUCAAUAGGGGAAUAGCAUCUAGAUCCAGGGAAGUUAUGCUCCCCCUCUAUUCUGCCUUGGUCAGACCACACCUGGAAUACUGUGUCCAAUUUUGGGCACCACAGUUGAAGGGAGAUGUUGACAAGCUGGAAAGCGUCCAGAAGAGAAGGCUGAGAGGAGACAUGAUAGCCAUGUACAAAUACGUGAAGGGAAGUCAUAGGGAGGAGGGAGCAAGCUUGUUUUCUGCUGCCCUGCAGACUAGGACACGGAACAAUGGCUUCAAACUACAGGAAAGGAGAUUCCACCUGAACAUCAGGAAGAACUUCCUCACUGUGAGAGCUGUUCGACAGUGGAACUCUCUCCCCGGGGCCGUGGUAGAGGCUCCUUCUUUGGAGGCUUUUAAGCAGAGGCUGGAUGGCCAUCUGUCGGGGGUGCUUUGAAUGAGAUUUCCUGCUUCUUAGCAGGGGGUUGGACUGGAUGGCCCAUGUGGUCUCUUCCAACUCUACUAUUCUACAAGAUUUCUGAUGUGAUAUCAUUUUAAGCAAUUGUCUACCCUAGCAUCCAAAUUAAAAUGCAUUUUUGGCCUUUAGCAAUUCAAGAAAUGCCCCAACACUAGUUUUGGCAGGUCAAAACCACAUAUUUGAUGACAAUCCAUAUAUAGUCAGCCUUUCAUAUUCCCAAAUUCAUAAAAUCAUAAAGCUAACAACAGGUAUUUCCAAUAAAUAGCAUUAGAAAAUGCAUACCCAGCCAAUGCUGGGUAUAUAUGCUAGUAUGAAAUAAAUGUGUAUGUUAAACGAUCACAACAUGUCAUUUAAAACAUCAUUCUUUUUAUUUAAGCAAUUUCUGAUGUUGCCCGAUGUUCAUCAGAAGAACUGUUUUGGAUUUUACAAAGCACAUGUGAUGAUGUAAAUAAAUACCAAUUUAUCAUUAAAUCUCUGAUUACAGAAUAGGUAUUCUUGAUUUGUUGCCCUGUUUCACAUGGUUAGGAAGGGGGUACAGGUGGUAAACACCCCCAAAAGUUGCCCUUAGGUGCCAGGUGUAAACUUAGUAGAUUAUAUAUCCAGAUAUAUUGAACUAUAAUAAGUAUGGUGGGGUGAUGUAGGCCAAUACUUCUGGAGGUCGUCCUCUUCGACACAACAUGUUUCUUGUUUGCUUGGGAAAAUUUUGUAUCUGUGUACAAAUAUGGAACUGAAUGACCUAAAUGAGUUUACAUAAAUCAGCUCUCUCUCUCUCUCUCUUUCAAAGUAAAAGCCAACUUGUUUUUGAACUGAAGAGCAACUAUUUCCCAUCUCCUCUUCUCAAAAUCCUGCCUUAUUUUACCAGAUAUACAGAAUGUUUUUCCCUAAAGGACUAAAACUGUAGAGAGGCACUCAGGAUGAAAAGCCAGUCUUCCUCAGGGACCAUGUAGCUGUGCAGAGUAUUUGAAUUACUGGGCAGCUGAUCCAGAGGGUCUUACUUCAACUAUUAAAUGGCUUUAGCAUGAACUUUCAUUCCAAGGGGUCUAACAUGCAAAUAAAAAUGCCAUUUGUAUUUGGAGUGCUGGUUGUAAUUUUGUUUCAUGAUGCAGUAUAACCUCCAUAUCUGUGGAACCAUUACCUAUAAUUUUACCUAUCCACAGAAAACAAAUAUUUUCUCUGUAGGCAUGUUCUAGGUCCUUCAGGCAAUUCUAUGGUAUGCUUCAAAUUCCUAAAGAGAAUACCUCUCUAAGAUUUUUUCUAGGUCCUUGAGGGCACCUAUAUGGUAACCUCUGGUGGGUUUGUUAUUAUCUACACUUUCCUGUUUCCACAUUAUGUUAAGGAACGUAUCUCCAAUGGAUAUGGGGGUUGUACUGUAAAGUGUAUGCCGGGUUCCUUUUUUGAUGCGAAAGACUCAAAAUAAUAGAAUAGUUUUAUUGUCAUUGUGCUAAAGCACAAUGGAAUUAAAUGCCUUCCCCAGCACACAUCACAAAAGCAACACACCCAUCCCUCCACACCUCAACGACCACCACAGAGCCCCCAGUAUCACAUCAAUGCAAAACCAUGGAGUCCAACAUAACCACAGCUCUAAGAUAAAAACUAUCUCUAAGUUUGUCCUUUUCUUUGUCACCCUGCCUGUACCAUCUGCCAGAUGACAAUAAUAAUAAAAAAGAAUAUGCCGGGUGAGAUGGAUCCCCAAGAAUGUUCUGAGCUUUCUUAAGGCUGCAGGAUCUAUAAAAUUCUUCCAAAGAGGGGAGAAUGCAACCAAUGAUUUGCUGUGCAGAAGUGGUUACCCUUUGGAGCGCCUUCCUGUCUGUCACGGUGAGUUACCAAACCAUGCGCAGAUACAGUAGGUUAGGACACUCUCUAUAGCACAGAGUUGGAAAGUCACCAGCAGUUUUUCAUUCCUUAGGAGUUUCGCUUAGUACAGUCUGUGAUGGGCCCUCUUAAUCAGUGCUGUUGUAUGGGUGAACCAGGUCAGACCCUCCUUCACAGUGACACCCAGGAACUUAAAACUGGCCACCUGUUCCACUUGGUCUCCAUUUAUGACCAAGGGAUGAAUUAUUGAUCUGUUCAUUCUGUAGUCCCCUAUGAGCUCCUUGGUUUUAUUGAUGUUAAGAACCAGAUUAUUGUCCCUGCACCACAAGAGCAGCCGAUCCACUCCAUCCUGAUAGGCAGACUCAUCCUCUUCAGAGAUAAGCCCCACCACCACAGUUGUAUCAUCUGUGAAUUUGGUAAUGAUAUUGCUAUGGUGGAUGAGGGUACAAUCAUAUGGGUACAAAGUGUAAAGCAGAGGACUCAACACACAGCCCUGUGGCACCCCAAUGUUGAGAGUGAGAGCUGACAAGGUAUGAUUACCUAAUCUAACCCUCUGGGAACAUCCAGACAAGAAGUCUAUAAUCCAUGAACAGAUUGAUAAUGACAAUCCAAGAUCCAUGAGUUUAGACACUAGUCUAUGUGAGAGCAUUGUGUUAAAAGCGGAACAAAAGUUUGCAAAAAGCAUCCUCAUAUAGUUCCCUUGUUGUUCCAGGUGGGUCAGAGCAGUGUGGAGCAUGAUGGCUAAGGUGUCCUCUCUCAUUCUGUUAGCUCUGUAUGCAAACUGAUGUUUACCAAUGUAUGUGGAAAGUGAGAAAUGAUAUUCCUUCAGACCAGUUUUUCAAGGCACGUCAUGAUGAUGGAAGUGAAUGGCACUGGUGUUUAGUCCUGAAAAUUACCAAUAGGGAACUUCUUUGGUUCCGAAACAAUGAUAGAGGCCUUCAAACAAGAUAAAAAGAAAAUCAAAAGGAGCUGAAAAAGUAGAUGCACCAAUGUUUCUUAAUCUGUGUUCUGUGAUUGUCAAAAGCUAGAUAGUCACCUGCUGUUUCUAUGAAUUUUAGAGCCAUGGAAGAUACUAAUAAAACAGCAUAGGAGUAGCUACUAUAACAGCAGUACAAUCAUAUCAACUCAGGGAGCCCAACUAGGGACAAUAUGUCUAAGAUUAGACAUUCAUUUAUGUGUUUACAUCACUAGCAGAAGCCCCUGCCAUACUGAAGUAGCAUGAUAAAAUGCCACAUUCUGAGCAUGUAUUGCCUUCUGAAGUAAACCACACAGAUUAAUCUUUGUUUUCCAAAUUUUUCCACAGUGGUGAAUACCUAAUGCACAACAGGAUGUGGACACA